Molecule: ribosomal RNA, 757 nt
Filed under: marine sediment metagenome
Description: LSU rRNA
Rfam family: Bacterial large subunit ribosomal RNA
Source: RNAcentral
UGGAAAGGACAAUCAUAGAGGGUGACAGUCCCGUAGACGAAAGGGAGAGGCUCCUUACCUGUGCUUAAGUACCACGGGACACGAGGAAUCUUGUGGGAAUCUACCCUGACCACAGGGUAAGGCUAAAUACCCUUGAUGACCGAUAGUGAACAAGUACCGUGAGGGAAAGGUGAAAAGCACCCCGGGAGGGGAGUGAAAUAGACCUGAAACCGUGUGCUUACAAGCAGUCAGAGCCUCAAGUAAUUGGGGUGAUGGCGUGCCUAUUGAAGAAUGAGCCGGCGAGUUAAUCUGUGUAGCUGGUUAAGCAACUUUCGUUGUGGAGCCGAAGCGAAAGCGAGUCUGAAUAGGGCGAUUUAGUUGCAUGGAUUAGACCCGAAGCCGGGUGAGCUACCCAUGGCCAGGGUGAAGCUCUGAUAAAAUCGGAGUGGAGGCCCGAACCGUUCAGUGAUGCAAAACUGUCGGAUGAGCUGUGGGUAGAGGUGAAAUGCCAAUCGAACCCGGAGAUAGCUGGUUCUCCCCGAAAUGCAUUGAGGUGCAGCCUCAGAUGUUAGCUAAUGGAGGUAGGGCUCUGGAUGGACUAGGGGGAGAGUAUCUUACCAACUCCAACCAAACCACGAAUGCCAUUAGCCAAAAUCUGGGAGUGAGACUGCGGGGGAUAAGCUCCGUAGUCGAGAGGGAAACAGCCCAGACCAUCAGCUAAGGUCCCUAAGCACGGACUAAGUGGGCAAGGAAGUAGGACUGCACAGACAGCCAGGAG